This is a non-coding RNA of Arachis ipaensis, 518 nucleotides long. Lineage: Eukaryota; Viridiplantae; Streptophyta; Magnoliopsida; Fabales; Fabaceae. The record is from RefSeq and is a predicted model, not a curated record.
GCCUAGGGUCGUGGUUGAUUAGGAGAUGGGCCGAAGGCCAUGUUUGAUUUGAGUUUUUGUUUUAGAAAAGUAUGAAAAACUAAACUGGUUCAACAUAGACUUAAUGAACAUAUGCCUGGAACAAUUUGGUCAUUCAUGCUGUCUAGGAAAAACUUUUAAAAAGGCUUUCAGAUUUAUGAGAAAUUAACAAUUUUUCCCUUUCAAAAAGGAUAUCGGAUUUUGAAUAUUAAAUCUUUAGUUUUGAAUAGGUGCAUAAGGCAUUUAUUAAUCACUGCACUUUAAAAACGGUCUUAUUUUCGUAUCUUAUUAUAGCAAUUCUGUGACCCUAUAGUGAGAACCCUUUCGAGGACGAUGUUCUCACUUCCCUACAAGUUUUUCCCUUUUCAAGAUAUGGACGAUGAAGCUUUAGAAGAGUUAUAUUCAUUUUCUGUUUAUUCGAUAUUAUUUUGUAUUCUCUUAGGUAUUAUUGUUCCCUUGCCUUUAUUUUUAGAAAUUUUUGCAAAAGAGAUACAAGUUUU